This 69-nucleotide transfer RNA is filed under the name Rattus norvegicus (Norway rat). It matches the Rfam family "tRNA". Rfam says of the family: Transfer RNA (tRNA) molecules are approximately 80 nucleotides in length. Their secondary structure includes four short double-helical elements and three loops (D, anti-codon, and T loops). The record is from Rfam by way of RNAcentral. Lineage: Eukaryota; Metazoa; Chordata; Mammalia; Rodentia; Muridae.
GGGGAUUUAGCUCAUUGGUAGAGCGCUUGCCUAGGAAGCGCAAGGCCCUGGGUUCGGUCCCCAGCUCCA